RNAcentral lists this transfer RNA (137 nucleotides) under Bacteriophage sp. Its description in RNAcentral is "tRNA-OTHER". The record is from RNAcentral.
GCUCCUAUAGCUCAAUUGAAUAGAGCAACAGCCUUCAUACAGUGUGAUGAACUGCAAAUCAUUUCAACUAAGUAAUGGUUCGACUCCAUUACUUAGUACUAAGCUGUGUGUUUCCAGUUUGAAUCUGGAUGGGAGCA